GCCGGCUUAGCUCAGUUGGUAGAGCGGCUGAUUUGUAAUCAGUAGGUCGGGAGUUCAAAUCUCUCAGCCGGCA
Rhizobiales bacterium TMED227 is the source of this 73-nucleotide non-coding RNA. Lineage: Bacteria; Pseudomonadati; Pseudomonadota; Alphaproteobacteria; Hyphomicrobiales. The record is from Rfam.